GAAGAGGCGUUUUCCUGCAGUGAAUCUUGUUCCAGCUAAAAGGCCUAAACCACUGGAAGUUGCUUUCCACCUUUCGCCAAAACAAUAUGAAAAAACACCAAAAGAACAAGACCAAAUAUUCCACUUGCAGGCCGGACUAGGCCACAGGUCUGUUCAUCUAGAUGAGAGUACAACACAUGAUGAGGAGGAGGGGGUUCCUGAAAGCUUUCCAUGGUGGCACCUGAUCAUACUGGCUACACAGGCAACAUCAUAAAGGCUGCAAGCCGGGGGGGAAAUCUCCACUCUACCUCCUAUCAAAGACGAACUCAAAACAACUCCUUUGCAACUAAGUAAUGAAGUAUUCAGUUGCAUGCCUAAGGCAAAGUGCCAAAGGUGUGGAGCAGCCAUUCCACUGCAGCUCCUGGUGGAGCAGUUGAAGUCUUGCAACAUCAUGGAUGUUGACAAUAAUGAAGACAACCUGGUUAAUGGGAAGGAUAAGAGUGAGCAGGCCCAAGUUCAGGAGCCCUAUCCCAUCUGCACAAAAAUGUUUCCCGUUGACUUCACUGAAGUACAUGCUGCAAUUUAGACUGGUUCACAGUACAAGACCCUUCCAAGGCCGUGUCUCUGUUUCGGGAUUCUAUUCUUAGCCAUCAUGAAAGUAAGAAUCCCUAACUUCUCAGC
Etheostoma cragini (Arkansas darter) is the source of this 660-nucleotide long non-coding RNA. RefSeq lists it as uncharacterized. NCBI's taxonomy places the organism in Eukaryota, Metazoa, Chordata, Actinopteri, Perciformes, Percidae. The transcript has 4 exons. The record is from RefSeq and is a predicted model, not a curated record.